UUUGUAAUCACAGGAAAUAACAUGAGCUUGCAUCGCUUUAACUAAAAAGAUUUAAAGCAAAAGUUAUGUAAAUGGGUCAAUACUUUGAUCCGAGCCAGGUACUUUUUGGACGCCGGAAGACGAUCAAGCUCAACGAAGAACCGAACACGAUAAAGACACAUGCUUCCGCACAUCGCCUCGUUGUAAAUUUUUAACGACGAACCCGAUCACGUUAUGUAGAAUAACUUAUGAUUUGUAAAAGUUUUAAUAAACCCGUAUUUCCGAUGUAUAUGUAAUCUUAAUCACAUGAUUGUUUUCGUAAAAUAUACGUUAAACCA
This is a long non-coding RNA of Helianthus annuus (common sunflower), 317 nucleotides long. RefSeq lists it as uncharacterized. NCBI's taxonomy places the organism in Eukaryota, Viridiplantae, Streptophyta, Magnoliopsida, Asterales, Asteraceae. The record is from RefSeq and is a predicted model, not a curated record. The transcript has 2 exons.